RNAcentral lists this long non-coding RNA (1266 nucleotides) under Sinocyclocheilus grahami. RNAcentral describes it as "lncRNA (ENSSGRG00000028359.1)". The record is from RNAcentral. Lineage: Eukaryota; Metazoa; Chordata; Actinopteri; Cypriniformes; Cyprinidae.
UUGACUUGUAGUAAGAAUGAAGUUGAAGUGUGUAAGCGGAGUUUGGUUUGGCUCUCUCCAGGUUAAGAGCUGGUAUGAUCUAGUGCUGCGCGAGAGCCUCCUGCAGGAGCUGCUGUGGAGUGGACACUGUGAGCUCAGCCGAGCCCCAGACCUGUCCAGCUGCAGGAGAGGAGUCCAGACCUUCCUCAGGAGAAACCCCUGCCCGGAGGUGCUGGAGCUGGUGAAGCUGGCGCAUCUCGCUGAUGCUAUAACUGACCUGCACCUUCAGCACACUGGCUCGCAGCUGUCUCACAGAUGCAUGACUCUGAGGAGACUCUUGACCUCCGUUGGGGCCAUUCCCCUUCACGACCUUCAGCUUGCCCUCCAGUGGCAGUAUGAGUUCCUCAAGGGUCACCACAGGACCUCUGACAUCACUUCCCCCGAGGACGAGCAUGUUUCCUGCCGUCUGCCUCCAGACUCGUCCGCUCGUGCAGUUUCUCCGUGUGAGAGCUUGUGUGAUUUAGCUAAGUGGCCUUCUGUUGGUGACUGCCAUCACCAGAUUUCUGCAGGCAAACCUCCUUCUCUCAGCUCCUUUGACUCUGGUUUCGAUGGAGCGGCUAGCAGUCACCUGGACAGCAGGAGUAGAAGAGAGCCGCUGCCUAGGAUUCUGGGAAAUGGAGACUCUUCUGCUUUCAAGUCGAGACCUCUGCAUGGACAGAUUGACGAGGAGAACAUUGUGAGCGUGUCUGAUUCUGAAGACCAGCGUGAAGAGCUAGGGUUUAGUUUAAAGCAGGACUCCACUCGUGCCAGCAUUCAGAUCGUUCCCAGAAUUACCUCCGACUCUCUGAACCUUGAGAUCAAGGUGAAGCGCUCUGCUACGCUGCCCAAGAACCCCUGGCUGAGCCUCCCGAUAGAUGAUCUUGAGAGCUCUUAUACAGUCACCAUUACACCCAGCUCUUCCAGAGAUCGGCCCGCUCCGACAGAGGAGCUGGGAUCCGCUCCGCUCCAGAGUCAGGAGAGCUUUGAGGAGUCGGAGCUGGAUCCUGUGGGAAACGUUCUGUCCAGCACCUUAACAGAUAAUGAAGACAAGCCCAGCAUCACACUGGACGAUCCUUCUCUUCUCUGGGACACGUUUGAUCUGCACAAUCUCAGACAGGACUCUUACGAACGGUUAGAAUCUCUUCAAGUGUUUAAAACAUUAGUUCACCCAGAAAUUAAAACCUGCUAGUAAUUUAUUCAAACUCUUCUACAUCUUGGAUGCCUGAGGGUGUUUCUUCAUGGGAUCAG